Molecule: ribosomal RNA, 253 nt
Filed under: uncultured bacterium
Lineage: Bacteria
Description: partial 16S ribosomal RNA
Rfam family: Bacterial small subunit ribosomal RNA
Source: RNAcentral
UACGUAGGGUGCAAGCGUUAAUCGGAAUUACUGGGCGUAAAGCGUGCGCAGGCGGUUUUGUAAGUCUGUCGUGAAAUCCCCGGGUUUAACCUGGGAAUGGCGAUGGAGACUGCAAGGCUAGAGUUUGGCAGAGGGGGGUAGAAUUCCACGUGUAGCAGUGAAAUGCGUAGAGAUGUGGAGGAACACCGAUGGCGAAGGCAGCCCCCUGGGUCAAAACUGACGCUCAUGCACGAAAGCGUGGGGAGCAAACAGG